RNAcentral lists this transfer RNA (124 nucleotides) under Candidatus Helarchaeota archaeon. Its description in RNAcentral is "tRNA-Leu". It matches the Rfam family "tRNA". Rfam says of the family: Transfer RNA (tRNA) molecules are approximately 80 nucleotides in length. The record is from RNAcentral. Lineage: Archaea; Promethearchaeati; Candidatus Helarchaeota.
GCAGAGGUGUCCGAGUCUGGUCAAAGAAAUAGCAUUCAGAAUGCUGAUUAAUUUAACUAAAGGAGCAGGACUGAGGCUCCUGUGGCGAAGGCCUGCGUGGGUUCGAAGCCCAUCCUCUGCACCA